Molecule: ribosomal RNA, 241 nt
Filed under: uncultured bacterium
Lineage: Bacteria
Description: partial 16S ribosomal RNA
Rfam family: Bacterial small subunit ribosomal RNA
Source: RNAcentral
GCAAGUCUAAGGUGCUCUUCGGAGUGCCUGGCAAACGGGAGAGUAACACAUUGGUAACCUUCCCCUAACUCAAGUAUAACCUCGUGAAAACGUGGACAAUCCUUGAUAGUCCGUAAUUUAAAUGAGAAUUUGUUUUACGGUAAAGAUUUAUCGGUUAGGGCUGGGCCUAUGGCUUAUCAGCUUGUUGGUGAGGUAAAAGCUUACCAAGGCUAUGACGAGUAGCGGGCGUGAGAGCGUGACC